AUACGGAGGGGGUUAGCGUUGUUCGGAAUUACUGGGCGUAAAGCGCACGUAGGCGGAUUGGAAAGUUGGGGGUGAAAUCCCAGGGCUCAACCCUGGAACUGCCUCCAAAACUAACAGACUAGAGUACGAGAGAGGGAGGUAGAAUUCCAUGUGUAGCGGUGAAAUGCGUAGAUAUGUGGAGGAAUACCAGUGGCGAAGGCGGCCUCCUGGCUCGAUACUGACGCUGAGGUGCGAAAGCGUGGGGAGCAAACAGGAUUAGAAACCCCGGUAGUCC
This 274-nucleotide ribosomal RNA is filed under the name uncultured bacterium. Its description in RNAcentral is "partial 16S ribosomal RNA". It matches the Rfam family "Bacterial small subunit ribosomal RNA", at positions 523 to 796 of the family's 1533-position model. The record is from RNAcentral.